This is a long non-coding RNA of Prionailurus viverrinus (fishing cat), 526 nucleotides long. RefSeq lists it as uncharacterized. The record is from RefSeq and is a predicted model, not a curated record. NCBI's taxonomy places the organism in Eukaryota, Metazoa, Chordata, Mammalia, Carnivora, Felidae. The transcript is spliced from 3 exons.
GAUGGGCUGGCUGGAUGCCAGGUGUCCCUGCCUCCAGCUCCUAGUCACAGGCUGCGAAGCCAGGGUGUGCAAAGCUUGGCGUUCUGGUCCUGCCCAGAGUGGGAAGUGAGGCAGCAGAUGUGGGCUCGGUAUUCGCCCAUGAAGCCUGGAAUUGGAUCGUCGGCCACAGCUCCAGGAACUGUGUGCUCCGCUCCUCUGCACUCACAGCCCGGAAAACUCCAUGAGUCUCGUGCUCAGGCCAGACCUCAGAGUCAUCCCUGACCCCGAAGUCACAGCCUUCCAUCAGCUCGCCCCCUGGACUCUGCUCGCAAACUAUAUCGAGAAUCUGACCCCUCAUCACCAGUUCCUCUGCUCUACCCUGGACCCAUCUCCCACCGUCUCUCGCCUCACCCGGAUGCUUCCAGAGCCUCUUAACUGGGCUCUCUGUCCCCCUCCCCACACGCAGAGAAGUUUUACCAAGCUUUGCCCUGGAUAUAAUGUUAAUUUAAAUAUUAAUUAACAGUGCCCAGGAGGACACAAGUGAACA